UACGAAGGGGGCUAGCGUUGUUCGGAAUUACUGGGCGUAAAGCGCACGUAGGCGGACUUUUAAGUCAGGUGUGAAAUCCCGGGGCUCAACCUCGGAACUGCAUUUGAAACUGGGAGUCUUGAGACCAGGAGAGGUUAGCGGAAUACCGAGUGUAGAGGUGAAAUUCGUAGAUAUUCGGUGGAACACCAGUGGCGAAGGCGGCUAACUGGACUGGUACCGACGCUGAGGUGCGAAAGUGUGGGGAGCAAACAGG
RNAcentral lists this ribosomal RNA (253 nucleotides) under uncultured bacterium. RNAcentral describes it as "partial 16S ribosomal RNA". It matches the Rfam family "Bacterial small subunit ribosomal RNA", at positions 524 to 776 of the family's 1533-position model. The record is from RNAcentral.